This 868-nucleotide ribosomal RNA is filed under the name Bacillus siamensis. RNAcentral's name for it is "bacterial SSU rRNA". It matches the Rfam family "Bacterial small subunit ribosomal RNA", at positions 56 to 905 of the family's 1533-position model. The record is from RNAcentral. Lineage: Bacteria; Bacillati; Bacillota; Bacilli; Caryophanales; Bacillaceae.
UGCAAGUCGAGCGGACAGAUGGGAGCUUGCUCCCUGAUGUUAGCGGCGGACGGGUGAGUAACACGUGGGUAACCUGCCUGUAAGACUGGGAUAACUCCGGGAAACCGGGGCUAAUACCGGAUGGUUGUUUGAACCGCAUGGUUCAGACAUAAAAGGUGGCUUCGGCUACCACUUACAGAUGGACCCGCGGCGCAUUAGCUAGUUGGUGAGGUAACGGCUCACCAAGGCGACGAUGCGUAGCCGACCUGAGAGGGUGAUCGGCCACACUGGGACUGAGACACGGCCCAGACUCCUACGGGAGGCAGCAGUAGGGAAUCUUCCGCAAUGGACGAAAGUCUGACGGAGCAACGCCGCGUGAGUGAUGAAGGUUUUCGGAUCGUAAAGCUCUGUUGUUAGGGAAGAACAAGUGCCGUUCAAAUAGGGCGGCACCUUGACGGUACCUAACCAGAAAGCCACGGCUAACUACGUGCCAGCAGCCGCGGUAAUACGUAGGUGGCAAGCGUUGUCCGGAAUUAUUGGGCGUAAAGGGCUCGCAGGCGGUUUCUUAAGUCUGAUGUGAAAGCCCCCGGCUCAACCGGGGAGGGUCAUUGGAAACUGGGGAACUUGAGUGCAGAAGAGGAGAGUGGAAUUCCACGUGUAGCGGUGAAAUGCGUAGAGAUGUGGAGGAACACCAGUGGCGAAGGCGACUCUCUGGUCUGUAACUGACGCUGAGGAGCGAAAGCGUGGGGAGCGAACAGGAUUAGAUACCCUGGUAGUCCACGCCGUAAACGAUGAGUGCUAAGUGUUAGGGGGUUUCCGCCCCUUAGUGCUGCAGCUAACGCAUUAAGCACUCCGCCUGGGGAGUACGGUCGCAAGACUGAAACUCAAA